Molecule: ribosomal RNA, 543 nt
Filed under: uncultured crenarchaeote
Lineage: Archaea; Thermoproteati; Thermoproteota
Description: bacterial SSU rRNA
Rfam family: Archaeal small subunit ribosomal RNA
Source: RNAcentral
GGGGUGCAGCAGGCGCGAAAACUCUGCAAUAGGCGAAAGCUUGACAGGGUUAUUCUGAGUGAUUUCCGCUAAGGAAAUCUUUUGGCACCUCUAAAAAUGGUGCAGAAUAAGGGGUGGGCAAGUCUGGUGUCAGCCGCCGCGGUAAUACCAGCACCCCGAGUUGUCGGGACGAUUAUUGGGCCUAAAGCAUCCGUAGCCGGUCUUGCAAGUCCUCCGUUAAAUCCAGCUGCUUAACAGAUGGGCUGCGGAGGAUACUACAAGGCUAGGAGGCGGGAGAGGCAAGCGGUACUCAGUGGGUAGGGGUAAAAUCCUCUGAUCCAUUGAAGACCACCAGUGGCGAAGGCGGCUUGCCAGAACGCGCUCGACGGUGAGGGAUGAAAGCUGGGGGAGCAAACCGGAUUAGAUACCCGGGUAGUCCCAGCUGUAAACGAUGCAGACUCGGUGAUGGGCUGGCCUUGUGCCAACCCAGUGCCGCAGGGAAGCCGUUAAGUCUGCCGCCUGGGGAGUACGGUCGCAAGACUGAAACUUAAAGGAAUUGGCGGG